RNAcentral lists this ribosomal RNA (492 nucleotides) under uncultured bacterium. RNAcentral describes it as "partial 16S ribosomal RNA". It matches the Rfam family "Bacterial small subunit ribosomal RNA", at positions 29 to 507 of the family's 1533-position model. The record is from RNAcentral.
AGUGAACGCUGGCGGUAGGCCUAACACAUGCAAGUCGAACGGCAGCACAGUAAGAGCUUGCUCUUACGGGUGGCGAGUGGCGGACGGGUGAGGAAUACAUCGGAAUCUACUUUUUCGUGGGGGAUAACGUAGGGAAACUUACGCUAAUACCGCAUACGACCUACGGGUGAAAGCAGGGGAUCUUCGGACCUUGCGCGAUUGAAUGAGCCGAUGUCGGAUUAGCUAGUUGGCGGGGUAAAGGCCCACCAAGGCGACGAUCCGUAGCUGGUCUGAGAGGAUGAUCAGCCACACUGGAACUGAGACACGGUCCAGCCUCCUACGGGAGGCAGCAGUGGGGAAUAUUGGACAAUGGGCGCAAGCCUGAUCCAGCCAUACCGCGUGGGUGAAGAAGGCCUUCGGGUUGUAAAGCCCUUUUGUUGGGAAAGAAAAGCAGCAGGUUAAUACCCCGCUGUUCUGACGGUACCCAAAGAAUAAGCACCGGCUAACUUCGUG